ACGGAAGGCAGCAGUGGGGAAUAUUGCACAAUGGGCGAAAGCCUGAUGCAGCGACGCCGCGUGAGUGAAGAAGUAUCUCGGUAUGUAAAGCUCUAUCAGCAGGGAAGAAAAUGACGGUACCUGACUAAGAAGCCCCGGCUAACUACGUGCCAGCAGCCGCGGUAAUACGUAGGGGGCAAGCGUUAUCCGGAUUUACUGGGUGUAAAGGGAGCGUAGACGGUUUGGCAAGUCUGAAGUGAAAUGCGGGGGCUCAACUCCUGAACUGCUUUGGAAACUGUCGAACUAGAGUGCAGGAGAGGUAAGUGGAAUUCCUAGUGUAGCGGUGAAAUGCGUAGAUAUUAGGAGGAACACCAGUGGCGAAGGCGGCUUACUGGAGUGUAACUGACGUUGAGGCUCGAAAGCGUGGGGAGCAAACAGGAUUAGAUACCCUGGUA
Molecule: ribosomal RNA, 434 nt
Filed under: uncultured Clostridium sp.
Lineage: Bacteria; Bacillati; Bacillota; Clostridia; Eubacteriales; Clostridiaceae
Description: partial 16S ribosomal RNA
Rfam family: Bacterial small subunit ribosomal RNA
Source: RNAcentral